RNAcentral lists this ribosomal RNA (253 nucleotides) under uncultured bacterium. Its description in RNAcentral is "partial 16S ribosomal RNA". It matches the Rfam family "Bacterial small subunit ribosomal RNA", at positions 524 to 776 of the family's 1533-position model. The record is from RNAcentral.
AACGUAGGUGGCAAGCGUUAUCCGGAUUUACUGGGCGUAAAGCGUGUGCAGGCGGGGGUACACGUGGGGUUUGAAAUUUCCCAGCUUAACUGGGAAGGGUUAUGCCAGACUGUACUUCUGGAGUGCGAGAGAGGGGCGUGGAAUUCCGGGUGUAGUGGUGAAAUGCGUAGAGAUCCGGAGGAACCCCAGAGGCGAAGGCGGCGCCCUGGCUCGCAACUGACGCUCAGACACGACAGCAUGGGGAGCGAACGGG